AGUGAACGCUGGCGGUAGGCCUAACACAUGCAAGUCGAACGGCAGCACAGUAAGAGCUUGCUCUUACGGGUGGCGAGUGGCGGACGGGUGAGGAAUACAUCGGAAUCUACUUUUUCGUGGGGGAUAACGUAGGGAAACUUACGCUAAUACCGCAUACGACCUACGGGUGAAAGCAGGGGAUCUUCGGACCUUGCGCGAUUGAAUGAGCCGAUGUCGGAUUAGCUAGUUGGCGGGGUAAAGGCCCACCAAGGCGACGAUCCGUAGCUGGUCUGAGAGGAUGAUCAGCCACACUGGAGCUGAGACACGGUCCAGACUCCUACGGGAGGCAGCAGUGGGGAAUAUUGGACAAAGGGCGCAAGCCUGAUCCAGCCAUACCGCGUGGGUGAAGAAGGCCUUCGGGUUGUAAAGCCCUUUUGUUGGGAAAGAAAAGCAGCAGGUUAAUACCCCGCUGCUCUGACGGUACCCAAAGAAUAAGCACCGGCUAACUUCGUG
Molecule: ribosomal RNA, 492 nt
Filed under: uncultured bacterium
Lineage: Bacteria
Description: partial 16S ribosomal RNA
Rfam family: Bacterial small subunit ribosomal RNA
Source: RNAcentral